Molecule: transfer RNA, 83 nt
Filed under: bacterium
Lineage: Bacteria
Also listed under: 1 other name
Description: tRNA-Leu
Rfam family: tRNA
About the family: Transfer RNA (tRNA) molecules are approximately 80 nucleotides in length. Their secondary structure includes four short double-helical elements and three loops (D, anti-codon, and T loops).
Source: RNAcentral
GCCCCGAUGGUGGAAUUGGUAGACACGCUGGAUUUAGGUUCCAGUGCAUAAGCAUGCGAGUUCGAGUCUCGCUUGGGGUACCA